CAGCAGCCGCGGGAAAACGUAGGUGGCAAGCGUUGUCCGGAAUUAUUGGGCGUAAAGCGCGCGCAGGCGGAUCAGUCAGUCUGUCUUAAAAGUUCGGGGCUUAACCCCGUGAGGGGAUGGAAACUGCUGAUCUAGAGUAUCGGAGAGGAAAGUGGAAUUCCCAGUGUAGCGGUGAAAUGCGUAGAUAUUAGGAAGAACACCAGUGGCGAAGGCGACUUUCUGGACGAAAACUGACGCUGAGGCGCGAAAGCCAGGGGAGCGAACGGGAUUAGAGACCCGAGUAGUCCCUGUCUCUUAUACA
RNAcentral lists this ribosomal RNA (301 nucleotides) under uncultured bacterium. Its description in RNAcentral is "partial 16S ribosomal RNA". It matches the Rfam family "Bacterial small subunit ribosomal RNA", at positions 509 to 809 of the family's 1533-position model. The record is from RNAcentral.